Molecule: non-coding RNA, 210 nt
Organism: Puma concolor (puma)
Lineage: Eukaryota; Metazoa; Chordata; Mammalia; Carnivora; Felidae
Source: RefSeq, a predicted model, not a curated record
GACUCUGGGCCACAGCAGGUACGACCCAGUGGGAUCUGUGGGGGAGCCCGGGAGCACGCUGUAUCAUUUGACGACUGCAGGGGCUGGAGACGGGGUCACUAAGAUUUUAAUCCGCAUCUUUUCGCCAUAAUCAGCUGUGACUGGGGCGCCUGGGUGGCUCAGUCGGUUAAGCGUCUGACUUCGGCUCAGGUCAUGAUCUCGCGGUCUGUG